This is a long non-coding RNA of Entelurus aequoreus (snake pipefish), 1028 nucleotides long. RefSeq lists it as uncharacterized. NCBI's taxonomy places the organism in Eukaryota, Metazoa, Chordata, Actinopteri, Syngnathiformes, Syngnathidae. The record is from RefSeq and is a predicted model, not a curated record. The transcript has 3 exons.
CUCUCUCCUCUCGUCCUCCCCCUCCGCACGCCGUGUGUCACCGGCUGGAAGAAGAAAGCAAAAUGUUGGGGCAGACGAGCGCAAUAAGAGAACGGGAGCAGCGUGGAGCGGUCGUGAGUUUUACGCCGAGAGAUGACUGCGACCUCCAUGAGGCCGACUCUUCUUUGAUGGACUAUCCUGGAAGAGGGAGGCCAGAGAGAGGGAGAGGAUGAAGAGGAAUUAGAGGAAGGCGACUUACCUCCCUCCAGUCCAGACUCAUUGUCCUGACACACACUCACACACACACGCCGCUGUGUCUGUGUGAGGACAGGGGGGUGCAGACGGUCAUUUUGAACGCCACCAUCCUGCAGACCGCCAUGCUCGCUUCUGAGGUGUAGGUGGUCUUCAACACGUUGUCGUUUGGACAUGCCCUUCACCUGCGCCUGCUUUUGCGGCCUGAACGGCUUCCUCAACAGACGGAAGGUGAAAAAAAAGGAGCGGCAAGCGGAAGAGGAGAGUGAGAAGGUAGCGCAAUGGAAGCAUCAGGAGACAGAUGUGUGACCUCCACUUUACUUAGGAUUAUUCUCCUGUGCCAGACUGCAAUAUAAUGUGCACUUUUUAUUCUUUUUUUUCACUUUAGGGAUGUAAACAAACUUAAGUGCUUUUUUUUUUUGCUUCCUGACUUGUUGACUUCAAAUGGUAAAAAGGUGCCAGAUUUAAUAUUUCUCUGCUUCUUAAACUGCCUGGAUGGAGAAACCACACCGCUGUCGUGAGCCUCAUUGCACAAGACAAAUCCUAUUAGUGAAAAAAACAAAAACAAAAUACCAUUGCCCGUCCUUACUGAAUUUUACUUUAAGGUAGGGUUGUCCCGAUAGCAAUAUUUUGGUACCGGUACCAGUACCAACAUGUAUUUUGAUACUUUUCGAUACUUUUCUAAAUAAAGGGGACCACAAAAAUGGCAUUAUUGACUGUAUUUUAACAAAAAAAUCUUACAGUACAUUAAACAUAUGUUUCUUAUUGCAAUUUUGUCCCUAAACAUACUAGACAAC